UACGUAGGGUGCGAGCGUUAAUCGGAAUUACUGGGCGUAAAGCGUGCGUAGGCGGUUCGUUAAGUUCGUUGUGAAAGCCCCGGGCUCAACCUGGGAAUGGCAAUGGAAACUGGCGGGCUGGAGUAUGGCAGAGGGGGGUGGAAUUCCGAGUGUAGAGGUGAAAUUCGUAGAUAUUCGGAAGAACACCAGUGGCGAAGGCGGCUCACUGGCCCGGUACUGACGCUGAGGUGCGAAAGCGUGGGGAGCAAACAGG
RNAcentral lists this ribosomal RNA (253 nucleotides) under uncultured bacterium. Its description in RNAcentral is "partial 16S ribosomal RNA". It matches the Rfam family "Bacterial small subunit ribosomal RNA", at positions 524 to 776 of the family's 1533-position model. The record is from RNAcentral.